RNAcentral lists this ribosomal RNA (253 nucleotides) under uncultured bacterium. RNAcentral describes it as "partial 16S ribosomal RNA". It matches the Rfam family "Bacterial small subunit ribosomal RNA", at positions 524 to 776 of the family's 1533-position model. The record is from RNAcentral.
UACGUAGGGUGCAAGCGUUGUCCGGAAUUAUUGGGCGUAAAGAGCUCGUAGGCGGUUUGUCGCGUCUGCUGUGAAAACUCGGGGCUCAACUCCGAGCUUGCAGUGGGUACGGGCAGACUAGAGUGCGGUAGGGGAGACUGGAAUUCCUGGUGUAGCGGUGGAAUGCGCAGAUAUCAGGAGGAACACCAAUGGCGAAGGCAGCACUCUGGGACGUGACUGACGCUGAGACGCGAAAGCGUGGGGAGCAAACAGG